RNAcentral lists this ribosomal RNA (486 nucleotides) under uncultured bacterium. Its description in RNAcentral is "bacterial SSU rRNA". It matches the Rfam family "Bacterial small subunit ribosomal RNA", at positions 30 to 513 of the family's 1533-position model. The record is from RNAcentral.
AUUGAACGCUGGCGGCAUGCCUAACACAUGCAAGUCGAACGGAGAUAGGGGCAACCUUAUUUCAGUGGCGGACGGGUGAGGAAUGCGUCGGAAUCUGCCCUAUGGUGGGGGAUAACACAGGGAAACUUGUGCUAAUACCGCAUAAUGUCGAGAGACCAAAGCAGGGGACCGCAAGGCCUUGCGCGAUAGGAUGAGCCGACGCCCGAUUAGCUUGUUGGUAGGGUAAUGGCCUACCAAGGCGACGAUCGGUAGCUGGUCUGAGAGGAUGAUCAGCCACACUGGGACUGAGACACGGCCCAGACUCCUACGGGAGGCAGCAGUGGGGAAUAUUGGACAAUGGGCGCAAGCCUGAUCCAGCAAUGCCGCGUGUGUGAAGAAGGCCUGCGGGUUGUAAAGCACUUUCAGUGGGGAAGAACAGGUUCGGGUCAAUACCCCGGAGCCCUGACGUUACCCACAGAAGAAGCACCGGCUAACUCCGUGCCAGCA